This 425-nucleotide ribosomal RNA is filed under the name uncultured bacterium. RNAcentral's name for it is "bacterial SSU rRNA". It matches the Rfam family "Bacterial small subunit ribosomal RNA", at positions 355 to 794 of the family's 1533-position model. The record is from RNAcentral.
UGGGGGAUAUUGCACAAUGGGCGAAAGCCUGAUGCAGCGACGCCGCGUGAGGGAAGACGGUUUUCGGAUUGUAAACCUCUGUCCUAUGGGACGAAAGAGAUGACGGUACCAUAGGAGGAAGCCCCGGCUAACUACGUGCCAGCAGCCGCGGUAAUACGUAGGGGGCGAGCGUUGUCCGGAAUGAUUGGGCGUAAAGGGCGCGUAGGCGGCCUGUUAAGUCUGGAGUGAAAGUCCUGCUUUCAAGGUGGGAAUUGCUUUGGAUACUGAUGGGCUGGAGUGCAGGAGAGGAAAGCGGAAUUACCGGUGUAGCGGUGAAAUGCGUAGAGAUCGGUAGGAACACCAGUGGCGAAGGCGGCUUUCUGGACUGAAACUGACGCUGAGGCGCGAAAGCGUGGGGAGCAAACAGGAUUAGAUACCCUGGUAGU